AAGUCGUAACAAGGUUUCCGUAGGUGAACCUGCGGAAGGAUCAUUAUAGAAUUAUAGGUGAGGGUUGUCGCUGGCCUCCUCGGGGGGGCAUGUGCACGCCCGAGCUCUUAAAUCCACAACACACCUGUGAACCCACCGUGGGCCCCUCGCGGGGCUUACCUUUAUAUACUCUGAAUGUCUCAUAGAACGUCGAAUUGUUUGCCUUAAAAACGCAAUCAAAUACAACUUUCAACAACGGAUCUCUUGGCUCUC
RNAcentral lists this unclassified non-coding RNA (252 nucleotides) under Amphinema sp. (in: basidiomycete fungi). RNAcentral describes it as "Amphinema sp. (in: Fungi) partial internal transcribed spacer region". The stretch from base 1 to 46 matches the Rfam family "Eukaryotic small subunit ribosomal RNA", at positions 1786 to 1831 of the family's 1831-position model. The record is from RNAcentral. Lineage: Eukaryota; Fungi; Basidiomycota; Agaricomycetes; Atheliales; Atheliaceae.